GCGAAUGCCCUGCUUAAACAGGAUCAAGCCAUGAAAAUGCAGCAACCCCUGUUUCAACAGCAGCAAUUCAUGGCUGCACAGCACGCAGCCCUGCAGGAGGCGUUUGCUCAGUUCAGAGCUAAUAUGCAGGGUUCCACUUUGUCGGAUCUUCCUCCACUUCCACCUCUUCCUACUUUCAACUUUGUAAGUCUUCCAACUUUUCAAUCAUGCAUCUUACCAUCCUGCUUAAAGAUCAUGCAUCUUAUAAUCUCACUGUUUCGGGCUUGAGGUGCUCUCAGUCGGGACAAGGCUCCAAUAACUGUGUGGUAGGUGGACCUACACCUGGCCAAGCAAGCCCAGUGACACCCACUACGGCUCAUGUCGCUUCGAUCUCCCCGCAACAAUGAUCACUCGAGGUAGUUGUCUAUGUUUGUGCAUUGUUGAUGCUUGCGUCUUGUCGUUGCUUGUGCUUCUCAACUUACAACUUGUGCAUUGUUGAUGGUAGAGCCCACAAGUGUUGAUGCUUAUAUUGUUCAUACUUCUUAGCUUCAAUUUGAACCUUAUAUGUUGAUGCUUGUUGACUCUUGUGCCUUAUUGAUCUUUGCAACUUAACUUUAGAAACUCAUGCAUGUGAUAAUGGACUUGUAGGUUUGCAUCGUGGAUGCCGUUGACGGUGGACAUACAUGCUGCGGUGGAGCUCAUUGCAUCUUUUAGGUUCAUGCUUGGUGUGAACUUGGAACUCAUGGUCCUUUCAUUUGUGAACUUCUGGUUACAUGUAUGUUGUUGUGAACCUUCGUUGGAUAUGUAUGCAUGUGUGGACUUGGAACUCACGGUCCUUUCGUUUGUGAACUCUUGUUGCAUAUGUAUGCAUGUGUGGACUUUGAACUAAUGGUCCUUUCGUUUGUUAUGGUUGUCAACUUGUAAUAUAUUGUUGUUGUGAACCUUCAUUGGAUAUAUAUUGCUUGCUUGUUGGAUAUAUACAUUGCUGGAUAUAUAUUUGUUGGAUACAUACAUUGCAGGAUAUACAUUGUUG
RNAcentral lists this long non-coding RNA (1012 nucleotides) under Triticum aestivum (bread wheat). RNAcentral describes it as "long non-coding RNA (TAES_LNC018761)". The record is from RNAcentral. Lineage: Eukaryota; Viridiplantae; Streptophyta; Magnoliopsida; Poales; Poaceae.